Molecule: RNA transcript, 2344 nt
Organism: Felis catus (domestic cat)
Lineage: Eukaryota; Metazoa; Chordata; Mammalia; Carnivora; Felidae
Exons: 3
Source: RefSeq, a predicted model, not a curated record
GGCUCAGAGAAGUCCGGUGACCUGCUGGAGGUCACACGGCCGCUGUGGGUUGAGCCGGGAGCCUUGCUCUCGGCACCCGGGUCCGCGGCAGCUGCCGCUUGGGGGUGGGCACCACCCAGCAAGCCUGCUUCAGAGCGGACGGAGGGCGGCCCUGGUCCUGCUCCAACCGACUGGCCUCCCGUCCCGGGAUUUGCUGUCCUGGCCUCUCUCCUUGUCUGGGCCCAUUCGGGCCCGAGACCCUCACUCCAGUUGGUACAUGAGGUCGCACCAUUAGCCCCCUGUUGAGAGUUUAAAUCACUCCGUAGGAGUCUGCCUUGGCAUCCAUUCGGUGUGGCCGAGCAGCCCGCGGGGCCUUGACCUGGCACGUCCCCCCCUCCCUCCCACAGGUCCCAACAGGUACACACCCUAAUAACCGCCAGGGGGCCUUGACUUCGCACCAGCUGCUCCCGCAGUGCAAGCCAGCCAGCCAUGCGCCUGCCGGGAGUCCCAGAAGCACCCUGUCCGUGGACCCUAAUCAGGGCGUGUGCCCGGGUCAGGCUGCUCCUGCCCGGUCCGCACCCCGUCCUGACUCCCCGUGGGGCCCCUCCAGGCGGGGUGCUUCCUCCAGACCUGUGAGUCAUUCUCUUCCCUGCUUCACCUUCCCUGGUGGUCCCUCAGCCGUGCCUCCCCAGCAGACACCCCGCCCGCACUCGACGGGUGCUCACGAAGUCCAGCACCCCUGUGUUCGGCCAGGCUGGCCUUUGGGAUGCCGAGCCGGACUCCCCACCUCAUCCAGCCUGAUUCUUCCCUCAUUUUUAUCCUCCGAAUUCAGGACGCAUCCCGUGCUAGCAGGAUGUGCUAUGUGACCGUUGUGAAUUUAGGCCAUUUUCACCCCAGAGCUGGCCCCUUCCACACUCCGGCCUUCCGUGGGGACGUCCAUCCCACCCCCACGCCCUCCAUGCGAUUCCGCAGCUGGGACUGGGUCCCCGACCCCAGACCAUGUGUCUGCCCACCCGCCGUGGGUACUGGUCCCGUGGUGGCCCAGGGACCCUCUCAGCCAGGGGGAGCCUGGCGGACUGUGCGGAAGCAGAUGGUGCUGGAAUGUGGUGGGGCUCCCCUCCAGGGCAGGGGAGGAGAGAGCAGGCUUGGACGCGGGGCUGGGUAUUAUUCCCACACCGAGAUGUGCCAGGUGCCUCCUGAGAGCCCUGGGCAGGGCGAGCGGCCUGCAGCCAGAUGGGCCCCGAGGCCACCAGCCUGCCGCGCGUCCUGGCUGGGGAGGAAGGCAUGCGGCGGAGGGGCCCGGAGGGAGGGUGGACAGCCGGCCCGAGCAUCUGGUCUCCCUCCCUCCGCCCCUCCUGCACUGUUAUCUCAAAGCCCUCUUUACAGACUCGUGUCCCUGAGGGUCCCGGCAUCUCGUGCCCCAGGCCCAGCACUAAGCUGGGGUUCCCGGGCCCCACCGCCCGGGAAGUCUGGUCCCGCAGGCAGACGCACUGGAGAUGGGACACACCAUCCACCGACAGGGCUGUCCCGUGCCGUCACUGGUCUACAGUCUUCCUCAUGCCGCCUGGUGUGACCCUCCCGCAUCUCCAGCCGCCGUUUCUGGUCGUGCUCCCUGGCAGCAGGCCACAAACUCGCUUCCCAGCACACAGUGCCAGGCUCUCACUGCCUCAGGGCCCUUGCACAUGCUAGGCCGUCUGCUUGGAGUUUCUGUCCCCUCCUCAGCCUUCUGGUCGGAUCUCAGAUGUCAACCCCCCGCCCCCCGCUUCCACACAGAUCGCGUGUGCUCAUUUCCCACCACAGGUGACCGCGUGCCUGUCUUUGCGAUGGUUCAGGUUGGGCAUCCCCACGAGGCCUCCCGGAGGGCAGAGUGGGGUCUGUCUUGCUCGUGGCCGCGUCUGCAGCACUCGGCACGGGUCUGCACAGAGCCGGUGCUCAGAAGUAGGUAUUUCUGCGACUCCGUGAAAGGCCGGGGCGGACGCUCGUAGGCCUGACCAAGCUCGCUUUCUGGCUCGCUUCCCCCAGAAGGCCCUGUGUGCACUUCCCGCCCAGAAGGCGGGUCUCUGUCGUGAAACCAGCUUUGCCGCUUUGCCUGGGACGGAAGCAGAUGCCACCCGGUCCCUACGCGCGGCUUCUGGCCGGCAGCUUGUCGCCCGCGAGCGCCUGAGUUGGUCUGUGACCCUCAGCACCUGCCCACGCGGUGGGCUCAAGCCCGGGGAGGGUGGCCCCGUGGGGUUAAGCUCUGUCCCCACAGCACUGGGUCAUUUGGUGAUGUGCCCUUUCCUCCCCGCUCCCCCUCGGCCCCCAAAUAAGCCACUUGACUUAUUGACUUAUUAGCCAUGUUGACUAAGUAAACAUUAAAAAAUUA